This is a long non-coding RNA of Oncorhynchus tshawytscha (Chinook salmon), 759 nucleotides long. Lineage: Eukaryota; Metazoa; Chordata; Actinopteri; Salmoniformes; Salmonidae. The record is from Ensembl.
GGGUGAUCAGUCCUUGGUUCCAAAUAUUGGGGAAGAUGCCAGAGCUAAGUAUGAUGUUAAAGAGUUUUAGUAUAGCCAAUUGGAAUUUGUUGUCUGUAUAUUUGAUCAUUUCAUUGAGGAUACCAUCAACACCACAGGCCUUUUUGGGUUGGAGGGUUUUUAUUUUGUCCUGUAACUCAUUCAAUGUAAUUGGAGAAUCCAGUGGGUUCUGGUAGUCUUUAAUAGUUGAUUCUAAGAUCUGUAUUUGAUCAUGUAUAUGUUUUUGAUCUUUAUUCUUUGUUAUAGAGCCAAAAAGAUUGGAGAAGUGGUUUACCCAUACAUCUCCAUUUUGGAUAGAUAAUUCUUCGUGUUGUUGUUUGUUUAGUGUUUUCCAAUUUUCCCAGAAGUGGUUAGAGUCUAUGGAUUCUUCAAUUCAAUUCUUCAAUCUUCAUCUCUCUCUCUCUCUCUCUCUCUCUCUCACUCUCUAUGUAUAGCUGUGUCUCCAUCUCCAUCUCUCUCUCUCUCACUCUCUAUGUAUAGCUGUGUCUCCAUCUCCAUCUCUCUCUCUCUCUCUCUCUAUCUAUGUAUAGCUGUGUCUCCAUCUCCAUCUCUCUCUCUCUCUCUCUCCCUAUGUAUAGCUGUGUCUCCAUCUCCAUCUCUUUCUCUCUCUCUCUCUCUCUCACUCUCUAUGUAUAGCUGUGUCUCCAUCUCCAUCUCUCUCUCUCUCUCUCUCUCACUCCCUAUGUAUAGCUGUGUCUCCAUCUCCAUCUCUUUCUCUCU